AUUGAACGCUGGCGGCAUGCUUUACACAUGCAAGUCGAACGGUAACAGGUUAAGCUGACGAGUGGCGAACGGGUGAGUAAUGCAUCGGAACGUGCCCGGUCGUGGGGGAUAACGCAGCGAAAGCUGCGCUAAUACCGCAUACGAUCUAAGGAUGAAAGCGGGGGACCGUAAGGCCUCGCGCGAUCGGAGCGGCCGAUGUCAGAUUAGGUAGUUGGUGGGGUAAAGGCUCACCAAACCAACGAUCUGUAGCUGGUCUGAGAGGACGACCAGCCACACUGGGACGGAGAAACGGCCCAGACUCCUACGGGAGGCAGCAGUGGGGAAUUUUGGACAAUGGGCGAAAGCCUGAUCCAGCAAUGCCGCGUGCAGGAAGAAGGCCUUCGGGUUGUAAACUGCUUUUGUACGGGGCGAAAAGGUCUCCUCUAAUACAGGGGGCUCAUGACGGUACCGUAAGAAUAAGCACCGGCUAACUACGUGCCAGCCGCCGCAGUAA
Molecule: ribosomal RNA, 493 nt
Filed under: uncultured bacterium
Lineage: Bacteria
Description: partial 16S ribosomal RNA
Rfam family: Bacterial small subunit ribosomal RNA
Source: RNAcentral